RNAcentral lists this ribosomal RNA (197 nucleotides) under uncultured bacterium. RNAcentral's name for it is "partial 16S ribosomal RNA". It matches the Rfam family "Bacterial small subunit ribosomal RNA", at positions 328 to 539 of the family's 1533-position model. The record is from RNAcentral.
ACGCUCGACACCUACGGGAGGAGCAGUGGGGGAUAUUGCACAAUGGAGGAAACUCUGAUGCAGCGACGCCGCGUGAGGGAAGAAGGUUUUCGGAUUGUAAACCUCUGUCUUCGGUGACGAAAAUGACGGUAGCCGAGGAGGAAGCCACGGCUAACUACGUGCCUGCAGCCGCGGUAAUCUGAGCGGGCUGGCAAGGC